Molecule: microRNA, 22 nt
Filed under: Drosophila melanogaster (fruit fly)
Lineage: Eukaryota; Metazoa; Arthropoda; Insecta; Diptera; Drosophilidae
Description: dme-miR-4985-3p
Source: miRBase by way of RNAcentral
UCGCCGAGCCAUGUAAAUCGUU